Ipomoea triloba (trilobed morning glory) is the source of this 95-nucleotide small nucleolar RNA. RefSeq annotates it as small nucleolar RNA Z103. The record is from RefSeq and is a predicted model, not a curated record. The transcript has a single exon. NCBI's taxonomy places the organism in Eukaryota, Viridiplantae, Streptophyta, Magnoliopsida, Solanales, Convolvulaceae.
GUGGAUAUGAUGAUUAUUUCCCCAGAUGAUCGAAGCUGAAAUUACUGAGCGACUUUUGAUUCUCAUUUAUGAGAAUGCUGAAAUUACUGAGCGAC